RNAcentral lists this ribosomal RNA (290 nucleotides) under uncultured bacterium. Its description in RNAcentral is "partial 16S ribosomal RNA". It matches the Rfam family "Bacterial small subunit ribosomal RNA", at positions 775 to 1067 of the family's 1533-position model. The record is from RNAcentral.
GGAUUAGAUACCCUGGUAGUCCACGCCCUAAACGAUGCUAACUGGAUAUUUUCACGAGUGAGUGGGAGUGUCUGAGGGAAACCAUUAAGUUAGCCACCUGGGGAGUACGUUCGCAAGAAUGAAACUCAAAGGAAUUGACGGGGGCCCGCACAAGCGGUGGAGCAUGUGGUUUAAUUCGAUGAUACGCGAGGAACCUUACCUAGGCUACAAUGCCUUGGCCAGCUGGUGAAAGCCGGUUUUCCUGCGGGACCAAGUGCAAGGUGCUGCAUGGUUGUCGUCAGCUCGUGCCG